CACACUGUAAACGAUGAUAACUCGCUGCCGGCGAUACACAGUCGGUGGCCAAGCGAAAGCGAUAAGUUAUCCACCUGGGGAGUACGACCGCAAGGUUGAAACUCAAAGGAAUUGACGGGGGCCCGCACAAGCGGAGGAACAUGUGGUUUAAUUCGAUGAUACGCGAGGAACCUUACCCGGGCUCGAACGGUGCAUGAAUGUUCAAGAGAUUGGAUAGUCCUUCGGGACAUGUAUCGAGGUGC
Molecule: ribosomal RNA, 242 nt
Filed under: uncultured Rikenella sp.
Lineage: Bacteria; Pseudomonadati; Bacteroidota; Bacteroidia; Bacteroidales; Rikenellaceae
Description: partial 16S ribosomal RNA
Rfam family: Bacterial small subunit ribosomal RNA
Source: RNAcentral